CCUUGUUGAUAGGGUUUGUAUGAUUUCUCACGAGAUGAUGCAAACUCUCUUACAAAGCACAACUACCUUACAGUAGGCAACAAUCAGGUUUUUGUAAAGAACUGAGAUAAAUUACCAGGCUCUGGUUAAAGCAGAAAGGGGCAGUUUGGAAGCUGUCAGGGAAAUAGUGCGGAGUGCUUUGCGUGGCAUUGAGCGAAGAGUCCAGGUGUGUCUCUGCCUGAAGGCUCAAUGUCUGAUUGCUAGCCUUAAAUGUUCAGAGGAGAGGGGUUUAGAGUGUAUCCAUCAAAGGACAACAGAAUACUGGAUAUUUUGAAGUCUCAAGGUUCCUAUGCUUAACGUUAAAGUGGGACAUUGGGUGGUGAGCCCCCAUAAGCACAGAUCUCCUUGCAUAUGAGGUCCUAAAACACCCAACUGCUGGCUGGCAUAGUCACUGUGGCUCGUUCACCUUCUGAUUGGUUGGAUUCCAAUUAAAUGGUGGUGCCUAUCUUCACCUCUGAAUCAAGCACUGAGAGACUUUGGAGAUGGGCUUUUGAAAGAGGUUUGGAGGGAAUGGGACGCUGGCUGUACUCACCUGCCGGGGAUGGUGGGACUUGGUCUGAGAGGCGGACGCCGUUGCCUGCGGACAGCUGCCAAAGCAAGAACGUGAGCACAGAGCAGAGUGAAGUCAGAGCUCUCAGGGCAAAGCUAAGCCAUUUUCACAUGAACUUUGUUGCUUCUGCAAUAAGGCUAUACUUACUCCCAUUCAGCACGCCAACGGAGGAGUACACUGUCAGCUGCUGCUGAAACAGGAGGUGGUGUUAAUUUUGAAAAUGAUCCAUGCCGUAAUGUCACGAACCAGGAAGCUGGAAUCCUUCCCCAGGUCUUUAUGCAAAUAGUUGGCAGCAGCUCGAGCUGAAGGACUUGGAAGGAAUGGGUUUUUAAAAAAUCUGCUUCACGGCAGAGCUCUCAUUAACCCCAUUCCUCCCAGGGAAUGGUCUGUUUGUCUGCCUAUCCACAUUCUCUGCCUCAGAAUUCUCUCUCCUUGGCUUGAAGCUUCCCAGAGGCGUCCCUUGACCAUUGAACAAACUGGAGAUCAUAACUGCUAAACCAAAGGGUCUAUACCAAGAAGCAGGCAUACGCUGUCCCCUGACACCUGCCAUCCUUGCCUGCUGAGUAUAUGCCUUCGCAGCUUUCCUAGAAUUGCAGAUCCUUCUGAUGGUUUCUGGGAAAGCUGUGGAAAUACACCCGGACCCAAAGGCCCUGGCUCGCGUGACCCUACCCCGGGAGAAGCAGCCCAGUUACCCGACAUCGUGGUCAGCAGAAGCUGGGGCGCUGGCUGGAUGCUGCAGCUGCAGGGACUCGGUGCCUCCCAGGGCUCCUGUACAGACAGAGAAGCAGAGAUGCAACAUUUUAAAGUUUCACAAAGCAUCCAGCUGCACCCAGGUUCCUGGAGCAGGAGACAAACAGAAUUAAUGUUUUAUACCUUCGGGUAUAGGUUUGAGUUUUUUCCCCCUCAUGCCAAGUAUUUAAAACCUCUAGAAACCCAUGAUUUGACAAUCAAUGAUUGCGCGAUACUUUCAAUUUGAAUAUUCAAAGGCUUAACAAAAUGGACUAUCUUCUGCAGAAAUCCUGCACACAGGCACCCCACAGACAGUCCAAAGAAACAGGGAGCCAGACCCCUUUGGGCCCUGGGCCUUGCUUUUAUUGUAUUUUAAACAUUUUGCCCACCUUUCCACAGACAGAGCCGGAGUCCUCAAAGAUGCUCUGUAUUUCUGCCUCAAAGGCAGCCCCAGGAGCCUGGAGUGACUCAGGCUGUCCUUCCUGACCUCCUGAGCCAGACUGGCCCACCAGACUCAGUCCUAUAUCCCUAGUCUCCAUUUUAGGGGAAAAUCUCAGGUUUCGGGGAGUGAACAUGGCAGCCAGUAGAUAUGGAGUGGCAAGGAGUCAUUCCUGCCUCAGGUUGCAGGUUGCAGGUCGCAGGCCCAGCCAAGGCCUCCGCUCUGUGCCACAUGUCCUUCUGGCACCACUUGGCCACAGGCCGGCUUCCUUGCCUUUGGCCCGCUCUCAGUCUGGGCCCCAGACACCGCAGUUUCAAGACAGAAGGCCUGCGCAUUAUGACCCUCUGCUCCCCCACCAGGAGCUGGGGAGGUCUGUGGGACCUCACCCUGGAGACUUUCUGAGGCUGGUGUUUCUUCCACUGUGAAGUUCUCUUGCCUCCCCUCUUUCUCUGGCUGGAGCCAUCCCUGCCCUUUCUGCUGCAGGAGUAUGUAUUGAGUAAUAAUGAUAAGCUUGGAUCCUGCUCCUUUUAGCUGAAAGGACAUUUGUGUGCAGGCCUUCACACUGUGGGUGAGAGGUGGGAGAUUCUUGAAGUCAGGCUGCCAGGCAGGUGCAAGCGUGAGCCCCUCCCCAGGGAUGGAACUGUGCCGGGUGAUGUUCUCCAAGCGCUUGCUGUACCUCUUCCAUGUGAUUUGGAAGGUUGAGAAAACAGGAGUGGUCCCGAGAGGGAGUGAGUGCCAGGCCAGAUGCUCAUCUAGCCCCUGGGGGAAGAGGGCGGCACCGGAAGAUGGAGAAGCAGGAUGGAGUUCCCUUUGCAAAUGAGCCAGGACAUUCCCAUGAUGCCAGGCCAGGCGAUGGUUACAGGCCUCUGCUCCCUGAGUUCUCUGAAAUGCAAAGAAUGGAGCUGAGCCCCACAGGCCACCAGAAAAAUAAUCUGAAUUCCCUUGAAUGUGUCCAGUGCAGGGCGGAACAUACACAGGUGGGGAGCAGGGGUCCUGGGGGUGACAAGGCUCUGGAAUCUGUGAUGGGGAGGAGCUGGGAGCACUUGACAUGGCACCUGGCUCUGGAGGGCAGGACGGGCUGUGUCUGCCUCUACCCCACUAAAUCUGUCAGCUCCUGGAGUCUUCCCACAGAGGCCUCUGAGCCUGUGUCCUGGGUUUUCCCAGUGGGCGUCAGGCCUGAGGACCAGACUUGUGAGGAGAGGAGGAUGCAGGGGGUUCAGAGAGCCCCUGUCUCCUCUCUCCCUGCCCUGCCCCAUCUGGACACCGCUCCUUCUGAUGGGAUAGUGGACAAAACAGCUCAGGGAGGCUCUCUUGCCCUCGAGAGACAUGACUUCUUUUCUCUUUUGUCUUCCUCCUUUUCGUUUUCCACUUCUCUUUUGCUGUUUAAAAUCUUUGUCUUUAGACUUUCUAUUUAUUUUUUUCCCCAAGUUUCUUUUUUCUUCAUUGUCUUCUUCUUCUUCUUUCUAAAUGUGUCACUUUCCCUCUGUUCUGGGGACUUUCUCAUUUUUUCAGGCUUAUUUUCCUUGCUAACCUCUCCUCUUCCAUGGAGAUGGGCAGUGGUUUGUGGAGGCUACCGAGUUCCCUUGACAACAUCACUGAAGCUCAUGCCACUGAUUGGCUACAUGGUACUUGCUGAAAGCAGGCGGAGAUUGGAGAUUGGGGGCCCAUGAGAGAUGGGGUCCUUGGGAAUCACAGGGUCUGUAGAGACAGCGAAGAACCCUGUCCCUUUCUUGAGCAGCCUCUGCCUGAACCAUAGCCGCGGUUCUGAGGGCUUCUGUGUUGGCGCCUGCUCUUGAGAUGGAUGUUCCAUUGCUGUUGCUGGCAAGCAAUUUCAGAAAACUGAGUUUCCUCAUGCCUGAGCCCUGUUUUGAGAAAUAACGUCUCCCAGUUUUUACCCCAAUAUGAAGGAGCUUUGUUUCCUAUAAUUUGUUUCUGUAAUUGCAAAACCCCAGCACAGAUAUUUAACAUUCAGACAUCAUGCUUGUGAGUGCAGAGGAGGGUCCUUUCUAAUGAGUCCCGUGAAUCUUUCCUACAGAUCUGCAUGUGUCAUGAGGCCUGAAGCAACCAGAUCUACCCCAAAGACCCUAUGGAGUUGGAUGGUCCUCACAGGAGACUUUUUUUCUAAAAGUUGUCAUUUAUCGAGUAUUUAUUGGAUAUCAGGCACCGUAUUGUAUGGCCUCCCAUUUUACAGCUGAGGCUCAGAGGGGUAAGCAACAUGCCCAAGGUUAUUAAGCACAUAAAUGGCAGGAUUGGGUCUCAAGCUUUGGUAAAUCUGGUGCUAAAGCUCUUUCUCUUCAUUAUCAUUGUUGUCUUCUUGAUCUUUUACAUCAGAGGCUUUCAAACUUUCUUGACUUCAAUCCACAAUGAUUUCAUUUUACAUGUUCACAUACUAUACAGUAAUAUUUACAUGUUUAUUAAACUUCUCAUGAAACAUGGGCAGCCCCAGUGGCCCUGUGGUUUAGUGACGCCUUCAGCUAGGAGCGUGAUCCUGGAGACCCGGGAUCGAGUCCCAUGUCAGGCUCCCUGCAUAGAGCCUGCUUCUCCCUCUGCCUGUCUCAAUCUCUCUCUCUCUCUCUCUCUCUCUCUGUGUCAGUCAUGAAUAAAUAAAUAAAAAAUAUUAAAAAAAUAAACUUCUCAUGAAACAGUGUACACCACUGUAUAUGAAGCA
Molecule: long non-coding RNA, 4425 nt
Organism: Canis lupus familiaris (dog)
Lineage: Eukaryota; Metazoa; Chordata; Mammalia; Carnivora; Canidae
Exons: 6
Source: RefSeq, a predicted model, not a curated record